AUAGAACAUCACAUCUAUGCAAUUCUAAGUCUUCUUCUAGGACACAUUUUAUAAUCUUUUGUAUUGAAUAUAUUCAAUUUUAAUGUAGAAAUGUUUAAUACCAUUGCUCACAGAUCUGUGGGGACAGGCUGUGAGAGUUGGGGCUCUUCAGCGUGGGGAAGAGAAUGUUUCGAGGAGACCUUGGAGCAGCCUUCCAGUACCUGAAGGGGUCCUGCAAGAAAGCGUGAACAAAGUUUUUUGGUGUUCAGAGGCCUCCUGGAAGGAAUGCAUCAUCAUUCCUCAUCUCAUGUGACAUCUCACCACUUCAAAAAAAUCCUCUCUAACAGCCUGGGCAAGGAACCCAUGAGAAGUUUUCAAUGCAGUGUGACCACAGUUCCAUUUUGUUAUGAAAGGCUUGUAAAAUAGAGAAAACUUGGACAGACAGCUGGAAUCACUGCCUCUCUGCUGAAGAGAAAAGUUCACCCAGCUGAACCUUGGUGAGAGCGCAUACAUGCCACAGCACAACGAGGAUGGAUCUUCAAGUGAAAGGAGCUAGG
Long non-coding RNA from Dryobates pubescens (Downy woodpecker), 536 nucleotides. RefSeq lists it as uncharacterized. The transcript is spliced from 3 exons. The record is from RefSeq and is a predicted model, not a curated record. NCBI's taxonomy places the organism in Eukaryota, Metazoa, Chordata, Aves, Piciformes, Picidae.